RNAcentral lists this ribosomal RNA (161 nucleotides) under Mycosphaerellaceae sp. Its description in RNAcentral is "partial large subunit ribosomal RNA". It matches the Rfam family "Eukaryotic large subunit ribosomal RNA", at positions 99 to 261 of the family's 3401-position model. The record is from RNAcentral. Lineage: Eukaryota; Fungi; Ascomycota; Dothideomycetes; Mycosphaerellales; Mycosphaerellaceae.
CGGCAAUAGCUCAAAUUUGAAAUCUGGCCUCGCGCCCGAGUUGUAAUUUGUAGAGGGAGUCUCGGAAUCGUCCCCGGCUUAAGUCCCUUGGAACAGGGCGUCGUAGAGGGUGAGAGUCCCGUAUGCGGCCGGGUGCCUUUUCCAUGUGAGGCCCCUUCGAC